UACGGAGGGUGCAAGCGUUGUUCGGAAUUAUUGGGCGUAAAGCGCGUGCAGGCGGUUGCUUAAGUCUGAUGUGAAAGCCCUGGGCUCAACCCGGGAAGUGCAUUGGAAACUGGGCAACUUGAGUACGGGAGAGGAUAGUGGAAUUCCGAGUGUAGGGGUGAAAUCCGUAGAUAUUCGGAGGAACACCGGUGGCGAAGGCGGCUAUCUGGACCGAUACUGACGCUGAGACGCGAAAGCGUGGGGAGCAAACAGG
This 253-nucleotide ribosomal RNA is filed under the name uncultured bacterium. RNAcentral's name for it is "partial 16S ribosomal RNA". It matches the Rfam family "Bacterial small subunit ribosomal RNA", at positions 524 to 776 of the family's 1533-position model. The record is from RNAcentral.